This 495-nucleotide ribosomal RNA is filed under the name uncultured bacterium. Its description in RNAcentral is "bacterial SSU rRNA". It matches the Rfam family "Bacterial small subunit ribosomal RNA", at positions 63 to 589 of the family's 1533-position model. The record is from RNAcentral.
CGAGCGAGCACGGAUUUCUUCGGAUGAAGUGACUGAGCGGCGGACGGGUGAGUAACGCGUGGGUACCUGCCUCAUACAGGGGGAUAACAGUUGGAAACGGCUGCUAAUACCGCAUAAGACCGCAUGGUAAAAACUCCGGUGGUAUGAGAUGGACCCGCGUCUGAUUAGCUAGUUGGUGGGGUAACGGCCUACCAAGGCGACGAUCAGUAGCCGACCUGAGAGGGUGACCGGCCACAUUGGGACUGAGACACGGCCCAAACUCCUACGGGAGGCAGCAGUGGGGAAUAUUGCACAAUGGGGGAAACCCUGAUGCAGCGACGCCGCGUGAGCGAUGAAGUAUUUCGGUAUGUAAAGCUCUAUCAGCAGGGAAGAAAAUGACGGUACCUGACUAAGAAGCCCCGGCUAACUACGUGCCAGCAGCCGCGGUAAUACGUAGGGGGCAAGCGUUAUCCGGAUUUACUGGGUGUAAAGGGAGCGUAGACGGCAUGGCAAGCC